RNAcentral lists this ribosomal RNA (404 nucleotides) under Cyclops heberti. RNAcentral's name for it is "partial 12S ribosomal RNA". The record is from RNAcentral. Lineage: Eukaryota; Metazoa; Arthropoda; Copepoda; Cyclopoida; Cyclopidae.
GGAAUAUGAACCGGUUUAUAACUUGUUCGAUUUAUUUUACUACCUACUAUUAAAUCCUUGAUUUACUAAUUUUUAUUUACUGCAUUUCAGUCUCCUUUGUUAAAGCUAUAUGUCAUUUGGGAAAAAUUUAAAUAGAAAUUUAUUUUUUGACAACCACACAAAAGCGUUUAAACAAAUAAAUAAAAUUGAGGGUUAUCAAUUUAAGAACCAAAAUUCUCUAAAGAGAAUAAACCGCUGCCAUGUAAUUUAGGUUUGAUUUAAUACCUAAAGUUAUUUCAUACCUGGUUUCUAUUCCAGUUUUGUACUUUGAUUUAAAAAUUUGAAUUUUCUUUCAAAAUGUCUUAGAACUGGGGAAGAAAGAAAAUUUAGAAUUAUCAAUUUUAUAAAAUUUUAUUUUAAAAGUA